RNAcentral lists this ribosomal RNA (549 nucleotides) under Bifidobacterium bifidum. RNAcentral's name for it is "bacterial SSU rRNA". It matches the Rfam family "Bacterial small subunit ribosomal RNA", at positions 155 to 715 of the family's 1533-position model. Lineage: Bacteria; Bacillati; Actinomycetota; Actinomycetes; Bifidobacteriales; Bifidobacteriaceae. The record is from RNAcentral.
AACGGGUGGUAAUGCCGGAUGUUCCACAUGAUCGCAUGUGAUUGUGGGAAAGAUUCUAUCGGCGUGGGAUGGGGUCGCGUCCUAUCAGCUUGUUGGUGAGGUAACGGCUCACCAAGGCUUCGACGGGUAGCCGGCCUGAGAGGGCGACCGGCCACAUUGGGACUGAGAUACGGCCCAGACUCCUACGGGAGGCAGCAGUGGGGAAUAUUGCACAAUGGGCGCAAGCCUGAUGCAGCGACGCCGCGUGAGGGAUGGAGGCCUUCGGGUUGUAAACCUCUUUUGUUUGGGAGCAAGCCUUCGGGUGAGUGUACCUUUCGAAUAAGCGCCGGCUAACUACGUGCCAGCAGCCGCGGUAAUACGUAGGGCGCAAGCGUUAUCCGGAUUUAUUGGGCGUAAAGGGCUCGUAGGCGGCUCGUCGCGUCCGGUGUGAAAGUCCAUCGCUUAACGGUGGAUCUGCGCCGGGUACGGGCGGGCUGGAGUGCGGUAGGGGAGACUGGAAUUCCCGGUGUAACGGUGGAAUGUGUAGAUAUCGAAAAAAAACACCACCCC